GUAAAGCGUUAUGUGGAUCGAACAUUAGUAGAGAAGCGUGUGAGCCAGCUGCCAAGAAAAGCCGCUAUUGUUUCAUAAGUACCCGUACCGUAAACCGACACAGGUGGAUGAUGAGAGAAUCCUAAGGCCGGCGGGAGAAGUGUUGUUAAGGAACUCGGCAAAAUGACUCCGUAACUUCGGGAGAAGGAGUGCCACAGAGAUGUGGCCGCAGAGAAAUGGCCCAAGCAACUGUUUAGCAAAGACACAGGUCUAUGCAAAACCGAAAGGUGAGGUAUAUGGGCUGACGCCUGCCCGGUGCUGGAAGGUUAAGAGGAGAGGUUAGAGCAAUCGAAGCUUUGAAUUUAAGCCCCAGUAAACGGCGGCCGUAACGAUAACGGUCCUAAGGUAGCGAAAUUCCUUGUCGGGUAAGUUCCGACCCGCACGAAAGGCGUAAUGAUUUGGGCACUGUCUCAACAACACACCCGGUGAAAUUGAAAUACCAGUGAAGAUGCUGGUUACCUGCGCCAGGACGGAAAGACCCCAUGGAGCUUUACUCCAGUUUGAUACUGGGAUUCGGUACUGUCUGUACAGGAUAGGUGGGAGGCUAGGAAAUGGUGACGCCAGUUGCCAUGGAGCCAACCUUGGGAUACCACCCUUACAGUACUGGGUUUCUGACCUGCAGCCGUAACCCGGCUGGGGGACAAUGUCUGACGGGGAGUUUGACUGGGGCGGUCGCCUCCGAAAGAGAAUCGGAGGCGCUCAAAGGUUCCCUCAGAACGGUUGGAAACCGUUCGAAGAGUGCAAAGGCAGAAGGGAGCUUGACUGCGACACCGACGGGUGGAGCAGAUACGAAAGUAGGACUUAGUGAUCCGGUGGUAUAAAGUGGGAUUGCCAUCGCUCAACGGAUAAAAGCUACCCUGGGAUAACAGGCUUAUCACUCCCAAGAGUUCACAUCGACGGAGUGGUUUGGCACCUCGAUGUCGGCUCAUCGCAUCCUGGAGCUGUAGCAGGUUCCAAGGGUUGGGCUGUUCGCCCAUUAAAGCGGUACGCGAGCUGGGUUCAGAACGUCGUGAGACAGUUCGGUCCCUAUCCGGCGUGGGCGUAGGAUAUUUGAGAGGAGCUGUCCUUAGUACGAGAGGACCGGGAUGGACAAACCUCUGGUGUAUCUGUUGUUUUACCAAAGGCAUGGCAGAGUAGCCAAGUUUGGCAGGGAUAAACGCUGAAGGCAUCUAAGCGUGAAGCCCCCCUCAAGAUAAGAUACCCCAUCUUCGGAGUAAGACCCCUUGAAGACUACAAGGUUGAUAGGCUUCAGGUGUAAGUGUGGUAACGCACUCAGCUGAGAAGUACUAAUAGGUCGAGGACUUAUCU
Molecule: ribosomal RNA, 1347 nt
Filed under: metagenome
Description: bacterial LSU rRNA
Rfam family: Bacterial large subunit ribosomal RNA
Source: RNAcentral